CUGCUGGGGAGAAAGAGCUUGGAGCGGCAGGGCUUAACCCGGUACAGCUCAGAGGUGGGUUUCUGAAGGACUCGGGGAGACAGCUGCAACAAGGCCUAGAAAUUGCUUGAAAAAUAUUUCUCAACUGAAUGAAUGAAUGAAUUGUAAAAUGGAGAGAACGUCAGGAUUCUAUGUCAUUUGUUUUUAAUUUUCCUAAUAUUGUAUGCAUGCUAAACAUCCUCAAAAUUUACCAAGUCUGUGAAGUUAUUGUUCCAGCUGAUUUCAUUUAUGGCUCAGGUAAUGCCAAUAUUUCCUAGGGAAAAAAGGAGGUGACAUUACAUCGGAUUUCCCAGUCACCAACACUCUGCUCAAUAGACAGACCUCUUAAGGGUAUAAUAAGUGUGGCUGCAUAGGCUGGAAGAAUAUAUAGGUGAGGAAACAUACUUUCCUGUUUUUCUUAAC
This 441-nucleotide long non-coding RNA is filed under the name Ictidomys tridecemlineatus (thirteen-lined ground squirrel). RNAcentral's name for it is "lncRNA (ENSSTOG00000031181.1)". The record is from RNAcentral. Lineage: Eukaryota; Metazoa; Chordata; Mammalia; Rodentia; Sciuridae.